RNAcentral lists this unclassified non-coding RNA (433 nucleotides) under uncultured Tricholomataceae. RNAcentral describes it as "sequence contains ITS2". The stretch from base 1 to 154 matches the Rfam family "5.8S ribosomal RNA". Lineage: Eukaryota; Fungi; Basidiomycota; Agaricomycetes; Agaricales; Tricholomataceae. The record is from RNAcentral.
AACUUUUAGCAACGGAUCUCUUGGCUCUCCCAUCGAUGAAGAACGCAGCGAAAUGCGAUAAGUAAUGUGAAUUGCAGAAUUCAGUGAAUCAUCGAAUCUUUGAACGCACCUUGCGCCCUUUGGUAUUCCGAAGGGCAUGCCUGUUUGAGUGUCAUUAAAUUAUCAACCUUGUUCGCUUUUACGAGCUUGAGCGAGGCUUGGAUGUGAGGGCUUGCUGGCUUCCUUCAGUGGAUGGUCUGCUCCCUUUAAAUGCAUUAGUGGGAUCUCUUGUGGACCGUCACUUGGUGUGAUAAUUAUCUAUGCCAUUUGACUGUGAAGCAAAAUUAUGGGAACCUGCUUAUAACCGUCUCGCAAGGGACAAUUUAAUUGACUAUUUGACCUCAAAUCAGGUAGGACUACCCGCUGAACUUAAGCAUAUCAAUAAGCGGAGGCU